GGAUGAACGCUGACAGAAUGCUUAACACAUGCAAGUCGAUGGGGAAGUGGUGCUUGCACCAUGGUAACCAUGGCGGACGGGUGAGUAACACGUAAGGAACUUACCUGCGGGACCGGGAUAACAGCAGGAAACUGCUGACAAGACCGGAUAAGGUCAUUAAGCUGCAUAGCUUAGUGAUGAAAGGAGACGCCUGCGGAGAGCCUUGCGUCCUAUUAGCUAGUUGGAGGGGUAACGGCCCACCAAGGCGAAGAUAGGUAGCCGGCCUGAGAGGGUGGACGGCCACAAGGGGACUGAGAUACGGCCCUUACUCCUACGGGAGGCAGCAGUGGGGAAUAUUGGACAAUGGGGGCAACCCUGAUCCAGCAAUUCUGUGUGCACGAAGACGGUUUUCGGAGUGUAAAGUGCUUUCAGCAGGGAAGAAGGAAGUGACGGUACCUGCAGAAGAAGCGACGGCUAAAUACGUG
RNAcentral lists this ribosomal RNA (464 nucleotides) under uncultured bacterium. Its description in RNAcentral is "partial 16S ribosomal RNA". It matches the Rfam family "Bacterial small subunit ribosomal RNA", at positions 27 to 507 of the family's 1533-position model. The record is from RNAcentral.